CUUAAUUAUACUCAUUACUUACAAAUUCAAUACAUAAAACAAGUACAUACAAGUCUAACAAUGUUGCAAAAUUGGGCUACUUGUUGUCCCAAUCGAACAUACAUUUUAUAAUACAGAAUUACAAAUGGUUGAUAAAUCAGAGGUGAGGUUUUUUGACGGCAGCAUAAGUAGUCGAACGAGCUUUUGCAUCGCCUGUAUGAGCUCUACGUGCAGAACUAUUCCUAGAGGAGAAUUCAUGAAGCUUACAAGGUAUAUAGCUCAGUGAUUUCAUGUCCCGGCAAUUUCUCUUUUGCAAAAAGAAUGCUUCGCAUUCCUCUGGUUUUCUCUGGUUCUCAAGAUCAAUAAUGCAAUUCAUGCCAAUAUUAAGUACAUUCUCCUCAACUAACUUGCGACAUUCCGGUCCAAUCUGUGUGAAAUAGUUGUAUUUCAAGGUGAGUUCCUCCAAGCUACUGAUCUUGCACAAUGUCUCCGGCACUUCGCCGUAUAAUUGAUUGUAAGACAGAUCCAUCACUUCCAUUUGCACAAGGCAACCGAAAGAUUGCGGGAUAGGACCUGUUAAUUUGUUCUUACUAGCAUCAAAUACAGAGGCCAGUUUCAACAUCCCUAUCUCAUAAGGCAAGCAACCCGUAAGUUGAUUAUUGAAGAAGAGAACCUCAAGGAGAUUUCCCUUCGCAUACCCAAUGCUUUUGGGGAUUUCACCAAUGAAUUUAUUGUUGGCUAAUGUAAGAUACAGGGCAGCAGUACGGCCAAAAUUUUCUGGGAUUUUCCCGGAAAAUUGAUUGUUGUUGAGAAAAAGAAUAUCAAGGUCGAGUGUGAAUACUUGAGGGUCGACUGGACCUUCGAUUUGGUUGAAUCUGAGAUCCAAAUAAGUUAACCUGGUGGCACCAAGAACAGCUCUUGGAAAUAAACCAACAUAUUUGUUGUUGCUCAAAUCAAGUUCGAAAAGAUUAGGAAUACUCUGGGUCGAUAUAUUAUUGGGUAUUUCUCCAGUGAAGUUGUUGGAGUUGGAAUGGAAGAUUUCGAGAGUUGGGAUUCCAUUAAUGAAAUCUUUGAGAGACAGAGGAUUUCCCUUGAAGUUUCUACCAUUGAAAUUGACAGCAACAACUUUGUUCUUGUUGCAAAUGAAACCUACAUACUUGGUUGAGUCUUUGCAAAUAUCUUUGCCUACCCAUGUUUUUGUAAUGCCAGAGGGGUCACUAGUUAUUGUCUUCUUAAAUCUUUGAAUGACACUUAUGGCUGAUGUUAGUAGAUCAUUGGGGGUGGGUUUGGGAGGAUUUGGUUUUUUGGGGGGUGGGGGUGGUUUGGGAGGAUUUGGUUUGGGGGGUGGUGGUGGUAUUGGAGUGGGACAAAGUGGCUCAGGAGGAGGGGGAGGGGGACAAAGUGUUUCUUGUGGAGGAUAAGCAGGAGCAACAUCUCCUCCACCACCAAUUAUGACUUGUAAGGCUUCUCUGCCAUUUUUCACAGAUGAAGUUAAGGCAUUUACAUGGAAGAAUGAGGAGAUAAAG
Molecule: unclassified non-coding RNA, 1505 nt
Filed under: Hevea brasiliensis (rubber tree)
Lineage: Eukaryota; Viridiplantae; Streptophyta; Magnoliopsida; Malpighiales; Euphorbiaceae
Source: RNAcentral